GAUGAACGCUGGCGGCGUGCCUAAUACAUGCAAGUCGAGCGAACGGACGAGAAGCUUGCUUCUCUGAUGUUAGCGGCGGACGGGUGAGUAACACGUGGAUAACCUACCUAUAAGACUGGGAUAACUUCGGGAAACCGGAGCUAAUACCGGAUGAUAUUUUGAACCGCAUGGUUCAAAAGUGAAAGACGGUCUUGCUGUCACUUAUAGAUGGAUCCGCGCUGCAUUAGCUAGUUGGUAAGGUAACGGCUUACCAAGGCAACGAUGCAUAGCCGACCUGAGAGGGUGAUCGGCCACACUGGAACUGAGACACGGUCCAGACUCCUACGGGAGGCAGCGUAGGGAAUCUUCCGCAAUGGGCGAAAGCCUGACGGAGCAACGCCGCGUGAGUGAUGAAGGUCUUCGGAUCGUAAAACUCUGUUAUUAGGGAAGAACAUAUGUGUAAGUAACUGUGCACAUCUUGACGGUACCUAAUCAGAAAGCCGCGGCUAACUACGUG
Molecule: ribosomal RNA, 496 nt
Filed under: uncultured bacterium
Lineage: Bacteria
Description: partial 16S ribosomal RNA
Rfam family: Bacterial small subunit ribosomal RNA
Source: RNAcentral